RNAcentral lists this unclassified non-coding RNA (2878 nucleotides) under Zea mays. RNAcentral's name for it is "misc RNA Zm00001eb391810". Lineage: Eukaryota; Viridiplantae; Streptophyta; Magnoliopsida; Poales; Poaceae. The record is from RNAcentral.
CGCGUUGGCCACAGCCUUAUCUUCUGGCCGCGCGCCUUCUUCUUCCGCACAAAUUUUCCAGCUCCCUCUGCGUUUCUCUCUGCUCGCCUCGGCCUCCAACUCCGGCCGUGGUGGCCACCGGAAGCGUGUCUCCCGGCCCCGGCUCAACGGUCUGCGUUCUCCCUGCUCUCCCAAGCUGCGCGCCCCUGUCCUGUUCCCUGCGCGCGCUGUUCCUGCUCGCUUUGGCGUCCGCGCCAUGGGGCCCUGCGCUCGUCGCGACAGACUCCAGUCCUCCUCUACCGAGCAGCUUGCCCAACCUUCUUCUCCCUACACGCCGGAGCUCGCCCAGCCGACCGAAGCUCCAAGCUCCAGCCAUGGCGCGUCCUCGCUCCCUCUUCCCUGCUCGCCGGUUCUCCUUGCCGAGCUCCCCUACGUGCUGAUCUCUGCGCUGCGGCUUUCCUUUCCCCAAGCUCCUCCAGCCACGCAGCCCAGCUGCUUCUUCCUCCUCCCGGCGUUCUUCCUGUGCCGCGCGCCCUGCCCAUCUCCCAGUCCCAGCUUGCCGCACGCGCAACUGCUCCUUCUGCCCAGCCGCCCCGGAUCUUGCUUGGCCAUAGCAAGUUCCUCCCUGUCCUCUGCUCGCGCUGCUCCAGUCGGCCGCGCGUCCAGCUUGCCCUGUCUGCACGCCGCGCUCCCUUGUCGUGGCUUUCUGCUUUCUCGUUGCGCGCAUAGCGUUCCGUUGUUCCUGCACAUGCUGUCGCGAAGCUCCCUGUUCAGUUCGCCUCCAUCACAUUGUCGUGGGCGCGAAACUGCUCGCAGUCGAUAUCAAAUCCAUGACGCGCGUGUUGGACACGAUAAAACGCUGCGUGUGCUGGUGUCCGAACUCGCCCUGGCCAUGGCGCUUGGUAUCGUGGUGUGCUUUUUCUCUGCGCGCGUCCUCUUGUUAGCUGUCGUGACUACCGUCAAAUCAUCGGAGUCGUUCAACUCGCCGAUCACAUCUUGGCCGGUCGUCGAUUUCCUAUUCGUCAUGGUACAACACCGUUAUUAAAUCUGGUCUCCAACCCGCCAUGACGUUCGUCGUCCUCUAGUCCCAGUUCGACCCAUCCGUGCGUUCGCUCUUCGUCCAUCGGGCUUCACGCGUGCUCGCAUUUGUUGUCGAGCUGUUGAACCCGUCUUUCCUUGCUCGUGACUUCGUCAUCGCCAGAGCCCUCACUAAAUUCGUGUCCUCGCGAGCUUGCUCCAGACUUCAAGCGAAGGUUGUCGUCGUUCGUGCAUCCCCAAGAAAUCCCAAGCGUCGAAUGAAGAUGAAGCUAGCAGCGUGGUAUUCCCUAAGUGCUCGACACAAGAGCUGAACCAGAAUCCUUGCCGUGUUCGCGGAUAGCGCGUCAGAUUUAGAAUGGUAAGCCAAUUCAAAAUUUCCAUUAGCUUAAUUAUUGAAGUAGUUCGAUGAAUAUGAUGUGUUUAUUUUCAUGAUUUUGAAGCAGUCGCAUCACGAUAGGAUUAAAUAUAUGUGAAGUACGAUAGAGUUAGUAAUGCGAAAGAUAGAUUAAUUUAAGUAAUAUUCGGGCGAGCUGAUGACGAAAGAAAUAAGCUUAGUAUUCCUAUUAGCUAGUUAAUAGAAUUUUCUAGUGUCGUUAUGUCAAUUUGAUAAAUUGAUAUAGUCGAUGUCCUGCAUAAUUAGUUAGUUUAUUCUAGGUAUGAUAUUCUAUGUAUGUUGGUCGAUUUCAUGAUUUGAAUGAAUGUUGAUUGCUAUUUCGAAUAUUUAGGAUUAAGUAACAUCGAUAUAUCUGUUUUAACCAAAAUCUAGGGUCUGUCUGAUAAGUAAUGCGUAUAAACACUUUAGGUCUUUUAGUGCUAAAGUUGGAAUUGGUAUAUUGUAUAAAAUAUGCUUGGUUAUAGGUUAUAAGUGUUUCAUCCUUUUUAGCGUAGAUUAUCUAUCUUGUACUAUUUAUACUCGUUAUACUCGUGCUCAUACAUGUGCAUCAUGCAUCUCAUGAGGUACGAUAAAUAAUCGCGUGAUGCGGAAGAAGAGCCAAGUCGACCCCAAGCGCGGGCUAAACCGCAUGGUGAUGCGGAUGGACAAACCGGAAGUUGGAUAAUCUGAAUGAGUGUCAAGCCAAAGGAUACUCGCCAAGUGGUCGCCACCUAACAACACUAACCUAGUGUUACUCAGGUUUUAACUUUGUGCUGCUGUUGAUGGUGUUAAAUGCCCGUGGGCUCGACCUUCUUAUAAGUCUAAGUAACUCUCCUAUACUUCUUAUGGAGGAUGGUCACUUGAGCUAGCAUAUAUUUCAAACUUAUACUUUUGCAAUCACUCCGAUAAAAUAAUGUAAAUUUUUUGUAACUUGUAAAAUUUGGUAAUAAGAUUUCCGCUGCAAAAAUAUUGGUGUGUGUGAUUUGUGUUACUUAAUCCCGCGAUCUUGGUUGUAAGUGGUUUAUCCGAUGUCCUUGGGGCAAUCGGACGGAUCCUGUUAAGUUAUUUGGUGCACAUGCAUAGCAGUCUGAGGUCUUUGAGACAAGGACAGGUGCAUGUGGGCCCAAUAACUUGGGAGGUUCUGCCACAGCUGGUAUCGGAGCAGGAUUAAGUAUAUACGGUCACAUACGUAUUUUCAAAACAAAAGUUUUGGUUUCAAAAAACCUAUUUUCAACUAAACACAUUGUUUGGCUUUGAAAAACAGUUUUGAAAAACUAUGAUGCUAACGACAUCCUCUAUUAAGCCCUAAAUUAAGGACUAUUAGGUGGCUUAUUUGAAAACCACUAACCCACAAUCGGGGGUAUUGCAUACAUGUGUAUUGUUAUUUUUAAGGCCAUUCAGUUUUGAAUGGAUCGACGCUCAAGGUAAGGUGAGAUGUGAGAGCAUGACCGAACAACCGUCGGUCUAGGGAAGAGCAUAAAAAGCGCU